Long non-coding RNA from Neopsephotus bourkii (Bourke's parrot), 466 nucleotides. RefSeq lists it as uncharacterized. Lineage: Eukaryota; Metazoa; Chordata; Aves; Psittaciformes; Psittacidae. The transcript has 2 exons. The record is from RefSeq and is a predicted model, not a curated record.
UCCGCUCUGCUGCUGUCCUCGCCAGGAAGGAGAAGAUUGAGCUGUCCUACCAGCAGUUCAGCCUGACCAUCGCAGUGGUGGCCUUGAUGCUGCUGCAGAAGGAGCCCUCCAUGGAGGCAGCGCUGGGGCUGGCGCUGAGGGCGAACCUGCGCCAGGGCCGCAUCCACCACCUCCAGGAGCUGGAGGACUUCAUCGACAGCUACGACUCGGCCACCCCGAGCCACUGAGGGUGCUGAGCCCUCAGGUCAGGAUGUGAUGGACACGUUGGGGUGGCCCCACCAUCUCUCAUGGACAUGGGGAAGGAGGAGGGUGCUUUGUUUUAACCCUGCUCAGUGCGGGGAGGCCGCAGUGUUUGCUCCCCUCCACACCAGCUCCUUGCUCCAUUCGGGGUUCACAGGGAUGUGCCCUGAACCCCCCUGGUUGUUCUUGGGUUUACAUCUAAAUUAAACCAGUUGUGAUCUUUGCA